This 854-nucleotide ribosomal RNA is filed under the name uncultured bacterium. Its description in RNAcentral is "bacterial SSU rRNA". It matches the Rfam family "Bacterial small subunit ribosomal RNA", at positions 51 to 918 of the family's 1533-position model. The record is from RNAcentral.
ACACAUGCAAGUCGAACGAGCAAGAGAGAGCUUGCUUUCUCGAGCGAGUGGCGAACGGGUGAGUAACGCGUGAGGAACCUGCCUCAAAGAGGGGGGCAACAGUUGGAAACGACUGCUAAUACCGCAUAAGCCCACGGUGCCGCAUGGCACAGAGGGAAAAGGAGCAAUCCGCUUUGAGAUGGCCUCGCGUCCGAUUAGCUAGUUGGUGAGGUAACGGCCCACCAAGGCAACGAUCGGUAGCCGGACUGAGAGGUUGAACGGCCACAUUGGGACUGAGACACGGCCCAGACUCCUACGGGAGGCAGCAGUGGGGAAUAUUGCACAAUGGGGGAAACCCUGAUGCAGCGACGCCGCGUGGAGGAAGAAGGUCUUCGGAUUGUAAACUCCUGUUGUUGGGGAAGAUAAUGACGGUACCCAACAAGGAAGUGACGGCUAACUACGUGCCAGCAGCCGCGGUAAAACGUAGGUCACAAGCGUUGUCCGGAAUUACUGGGUGUAAAGGGAGCGCAGGCGGGAAGACAAGUUGGAAGUGAAAUCUAUGGGCUCAACCCAUAAACUGCUUUCAAAACUGUUUUUCUUGAGUAGUGCAGAGGUAGGCGGAAUUCCCGGUGUAGCGGUGGAAUGCGUAGAUAUCGGGAGGAACACCAGUGGCGAAGGCGGCCUACUGGGCACCAACUGACGCUGAGGCUCGAAAGUGUGGGUAGCAAACAGGAUUAGAUACCCUGGUAGUCCACACCGUAAACGAUGAUUACUAGGUGUUGGAGGAUUGACCCCUUCAGUGCCGCAGUUAACACAAUAAGUAAUCCACCUGGGGAGUACGACCGCAAGGUUGAAACUCAAAGGAAUUGACGGGG